AGAGUUUGAUCAUGGCUCAGAGCGAACGUUAGCGGCGCGCCUAACACAUGCAAGUCGCACGAGAAAGGGCUUCGGCCCCGGUACAGCGGCGCACGGGUGAGUAACACGUGGGUAAUCUGCCCUGGAGUGGGGAAUAACACCGGGAAACCGGUGCUAAUACCGCAUACGAUAGCGAGGUCUGCGGACUUUGCUAUGAAAGGAGCAAUUCGCUCUAGGAGGAGCCCGCGGCUGAUUAGCUAGUUGGUGAGGUAACGGCUCACCAAGGCUACGAUCAGUAUCCGGUCUGAGAGGACGGUCGGACACACUGGAACUGAGACACGGUCCAGACUCCUACGGGAGGCAGCAGUGGGGAAUUUUUGGCAAUGGGGGCAACCCUGACCAAGCAACGCCGCGUGGGUGAUGAAGUCUCUUGGGACGUAAAACCCUUUCGACGGGGAAGAAACCGCAAGGUUGACGGUACCCGUAGAAGAAGCCCCGGCUAACUCCGUGCCAGCAGCCGCGGUAAUACGGGGGGGGCAAGCGUUGUUCGGAAUUACUGGGCGUAAAGGGCGCGUAGGCGGUUCGCUAAGUUGGAUGUGAAAACUCUGGGCUCAACCCAGAGCCUGCAUCCAAAACUGGCGGGCUAGAGUUCUGGAGGGGGUAGCGGAAUUCCUGGUGUAGCGGUGAAAUGCGUAGAUAUCAGGAGGAGCACCGGUGGCGAAGGCGGCUACCUGGACAGAAACUGACGCUGAGGCGCGAAAGCUAGGGGAGCAAACAGGAUUAGAUACCCUAGUAGUCC
RNAcentral lists this ribosomal RNA (778 nucleotides) under uncultured bacterium. Its description in RNAcentral is "bacterial SSU rRNA". It matches the Rfam family "Bacterial small subunit ribosomal RNA", at positions 8 to 796 of the family's 1533-position model. The record is from RNAcentral.